UACGUAGGCAGCAAGCGUUGUUCGGAGUUACUGGGCGUAAAGGGUGUGUAGGCGGUUCUCUAAGUCUGGUGUGAAAUCUCCCGGCUCAACUGGGAGGGUGCGCCGGAAACUGGAGAGCUAGAGUACUGGAUGGGAGAGUGGAAUUCCUGGUGUAGCGGUGAAAUGCGUAGAGAUCCGGAGGAACACCAGCGGCGAAGGCGGCAUCCUGGACUGGUCCUGACACUCAUGAGCGAAAGCGUGGGGAGCGAUCCGG
This 253-nucleotide ribosomal RNA is filed under the name uncultured bacterium. RNAcentral describes it as "partial 16S ribosomal RNA". It matches the Rfam family "Bacterial small subunit ribosomal RNA", at positions 524 to 776 of the family's 1533-position model. The record is from RNAcentral.